This 623-nucleotide ribosomal RNA is filed under the name uncultured archaeon. Its description in RNAcentral is "bacterial SSU rRNA". It matches the Rfam family "Archaeal small subunit ribosomal RNA", at positions 146 to 774 of the family's 1478-position model. The record is from RNAcentral.
AUAAUACUCCAUAGAUUAGAGACACUGGAAUGUUCUUUAGUCGAAAGUUCUGGCGCCUUAGGAUGGAUCUGCGGUCGAUUAGGUUGUUGUUGGGGUAACGGCCCAACAAGCCUGUAAUCGAUACGGGUUGUGGGAGCAAGAGCCCGGAGAUGGAAUCUGAGACACGAUUCCAGGCCCUACGGGGCGCAGCAGGCGCGAAAACUUUACAAUGCAGGAAACUGUGAUAAGGGAACUCCGAGUGCCCGUAUACGCGGGCUGUCCAGGUGUUUAAAAAUCAUCUGAAGAAAGGGCCGGGCAAGACCGGUGCCAGCCGCCGCGGUAAUACCGGCGGCUCGAGUGGUGGCCACUAUUAUUGGGCUUAAAGCGUCCGUAGCUGGACCGAUAAGUCUCUUGGGAAAUCCGCCGGCUCAACCGGCGGGCGUCUAAGGGAUACUGUUAGUCUAGGGACCGGGAGAGGUGAGAGGUACUCCGGGGGUAGGAGUGAAAUCCUGUAAUCCCCGGGGGACCACCGAUGGCGAAAGCAUCUCACCAGAACGGCUCCGACAGUGAGGGACGAAAGCUGGGGGACCGAACCGGAUUAGAUACCCGGGUAAUCCCAACCGUAAACUAUGCGCGUUAGGUGU